Molecule: ribosomal RNA, 406 nt
Filed under: uncultured bacterium
Lineage: Bacteria
Description: partial 16S ribosomal RNA
Rfam family: Bacterial small subunit ribosomal RNA
Source: RNAcentral
AUUGAACGCUGGCGGCAGGCCUAACACAUGCAAGUCGAACGAGUGGCGGACUGGUGAGUAAUGUCUGGGAAACUGCCCGAUGGAGGGGGAUAACUACUGGAAACGGUAGCUAAUACCGCAUACCAUCGGAUGUGCCCCGAUGGGAUUAGCUAGUAGGUGGGGUAACGGCUCACCUAGGCGACGAUCCCUAGCUGGUCUGAGAGGAUGACCAGCCAAACGGGAACUGAGACACGGUCCAGAAUCGUACGGGAGGCAGCAGUGGGGAAUAUUGCACAAUGGGCGCAAGCCUGAUGCAGCCAGGCCGCGUGGAUGAAGAAGGCAUUAGGGUUGUAAAAGACUUUCAGCGAGGAGGCGUUAGACGCAGAAGAAGCACCGGCUAACUCCGUGCCAGCAGCCGCGGUAAUAC